AGUACAAAGGAAGAGUGUUCAGUUUAAACGACAAGCCUGUGGUGCAUAAAAUUUGGCUGCCGAAUGAGGAAUGCCCCAGAUUGGCAAUGUCUAGAGCCUUUGGGGACUACUUUAUUAAGGAUUUUGGACUUAUAUCCGUCCCUGAAGUGAGGUGUUGUCACAUAUAACCAGCAGAGACCAAUUUGUUGUGUUGCGAACCGAUGAGUCUUCCCGCUAGGGGCUGGGAAGAGAUAACAACGGGAGCGUCGAUUGCAUGGCUAUCAAGUACAUCAAAUUUGAAUUGGACACAAAAAUGUCGCGAUUCCCUCUCUCCGAUCAGAAACUUCGAAGGCAAAAUUUGUGCGAAAAAGUAUGUGUUUCCAUCUGCUUGUGUGUGUUUAUGUAUGUUCGCCAACCAAUUGAUAUUUUCGGCUUUCUGUUUCGUUGCAAUGAAUUCAAGAAAACGAGAAAAGUUUAAAUUCUUUUAGCUUUUGUAUCGAAUUCCUUUUGAUUUUCUUUCUUUUGUUUGUCUUCGUGAAUUUGUUGGACUUUUGGAUUUACUGUGAACUACGGUUUCUUCGUCUACUAUUUGAAUGUUUCUUUUUUUUAGACGAUAUCUAGUGUUGUUUGCAAUAUCUUUAGAUUUUUGUGGUUGAUGUUCCCAUUAAUUUCUUGGAUUUUGAUUUUUUUUCACGUAAGGGUUUCUUUAGCAUAUUUGGAUGGUUUAUUGUCUACGAAUAUAAGU
Molecule: long non-coding RNA, 724 nt
Organism: Cornus florida
Lineage: Eukaryota; Viridiplantae; Streptophyta; Magnoliopsida; Cornales; Cornaceae
Exons: 3
Source: RefSeq, a predicted model, not a curated record